UACGUAGGUGGCAAGCGUUGUCCGGAAUUACUGGGUGUAAAGGGCGUGUAGGCGGGGAUGCAAGUCAGAUGUGAAAUUCCAAGGCUCAACCUUGGAGCUGCAUCUGAAACUGCAACUCUUGAGUGCUGGAGAGGAAAGCGGAAUUCCUAGUGUAGCGGUGAAAUGCGUAGAUAUUAGGAGGAACACCAGUGGCGAAGGCGGCUUUCUGGACAGUAACUGACGCUGAGGCGCGAAAGCGUGGGGAGCAAAC
Molecule: ribosomal RNA, 250 nt
Filed under: uncultured bacterium
Lineage: Bacteria
Description: partial 16S ribosomal RNA
Rfam family: Bacterial small subunit ribosomal RNA
Source: RNAcentral